Molecule: long non-coding RNA, 642 nt
Organism: Chinchilla lanigera (long-tailed chinchilla)
Lineage: Eukaryota; Metazoa; Chordata; Mammalia; Rodentia; Chinchillidae
Exons: 3
Source: RefSeq, a predicted model, not a curated record
AGAAGAGAUUUUAACAGUGGGGGAGCACAGUGAAGACUGGAGUUAGUACUGGAAGAGUUAAGCCCAGUCAAGAAGGGACAAAAUCUUCAGCCUUGGCAGCCAAGGGUAUGCGCAGGAAAGAGAAGAGAGAAGGCUAGCGACUGACCUCCGCCGUCACGGCUGUCCCGGCAGCGCCAUCAAUGGGAACAGCAAGGUCAGUGGGAGCAGCAUCUUACGGAGUCAGAGGAGGAAGACGUGGAGAGACUUUCGGUUUGAGAGGAAUCCUCUGGCUCUGGAUUUGCCUGGAUGACAAACGUGAAGACAACCAUUCUACCCCAAGAAGAGACCCUUGCUGAGAAACGAUCCCAUAUGCAAGUAUUUAAUUGUUCCCAGAGGUCUGAGGCAGUGGGCUGAGAUAAGAAACUCCAGCAACACUUCACCAGCCUGUGGAUUAUGUCAUUCAAUCUGCAGUGUUAAGAGCAUUUGUGAAGAUUUCGUUCAGAAGAUAUCAUUAUUGCCUGAGUCGUGGCUUGAUACACUCUGCAGAAUAGUGUAGUAGGAACUAUGUUCUUCACAAAAGUCACAAGAUAAUAACGAGGAUGCAGGUUGGGAAUGAAAGAUGCCAAAUAAUCUGCUCAAUUCAAUAAAGCAAUUUGACAGGCA